CAAUAGCGUAUAUUAAAGUUGUUGCAGUUAAAAAGCUCGUAGUUGGAUUUCUGGUAGGAGCGACCGUGCCGAACUUGAUUGUUCGAGUAUUGUGUUGUCUUCAGCCAUCCUCGUGGAGAACUUUUCUAACAUUAACUUGUUGGGAUUGGGACCCGCGUCAUUUACUGUGAAAAAAUUAGAGUGUUCAAAGCAGGCUUAUGCCGUUGAAUAUAUUAGCAUGGAAUAAUGAGAUAGGACUUUUUUGCUAUUUUGUUGGUUUGCGCAAAGAGGUAAUGAUUAAUAGGGACAGUUGGGGGUAUUCGUAUUCCAUUGUCAGAGGUGAAAUUCUUGGAUUUUUGGAAGACGAACUACUGCGAAAGCAUUUACCAAGGAUGUUUUCAUUAA
RNAcentral lists this ribosomal RNA (384 nucleotides) under uncultured eukaryote. RNAcentral describes it as "partial 18S ribosomal RNA". It matches the Rfam family "Eukaryotic small subunit ribosomal RNA", at positions 592 to 976 of the family's 1831-position model. The record is from RNAcentral.